AACGCAUAUUGCACUCCCCGGCAUUCCGGGGAGUAUGCCUGUUUCAGCAUCAGAAUCAUCCUCGAGCCCACGCAAUUUUUGUGCCGGGAACUCGGAGUUGGGCCUUGCAGGUUUUCCUGGGAAAGCGUGCUGGCCUGAAAUUCAGUCGAAGCUGCAUCCAAACCGCUGAGGCUUUUGAAAAAAGGCGUCAUAGUUGGCCUCUGGUCAUCUUUCGCCGAUCUUUUUCAUGACCGAAGGGCUUGUGUUUUGUGCUUCUUUGUGGUUAUGUACUUAUUGUAUAUGAUCACGCCUCUUCCAUAACUUGAUCUGAAAUCAGGCAGGACUACCCGCUGAACUUAA
RNAcentral lists this unclassified non-coding RNA (339 nucleotides) under uncultured fungus. Its description in RNAcentral is "partial contains 5.8S ribosomal RNA, internal transcribed spacer 2, and large subunit ribosomal RNA". Lineage: Eukaryota; Fungi. The record is from RNAcentral.